This 440-nucleotide long non-coding RNA is filed under the name Musa acuminata (dwarf banana). RNAcentral's name for it is "long non-coding RNA (MACU_LNC002111)". Lineage: Eukaryota; Viridiplantae; Streptophyta; Magnoliopsida; Zingiberales; Musaceae. The record is from RNAcentral.
UAUAACAUCUGAAUUUUGUAUCUGUUUGUAUUUGUCAUUGGUGCUGAAUGCAACUUUGAUGUUAUUUUUGUUUUAGCUCAUUUCUAUCAAUCAUGAUAUGUAAUUCUUAAAUUAUAAUAUUCAGAGCACCUCGCUUCUUUUGGGCGCCUUUUGACUACGCUGGUGGGCACCGAGGAAAUUUUUCUCUGGAGGAGCAGGAAAAGACAGGCGAGCUUCCUCAGAUUCCCUCCCACUUAAACCACGAGAUGGAUAAUCUUCUCCCAGCCACGACGUGAUUCCGGAUUGAAGUAAUCUUGUAACACAGAUGGCCAUGUUCCUCCUAUCACUGAGACAAAAGUUUUCAGCAAAUCCAUCAUUCACUCUAAAGACCUGUGGCUUCUGGGCGGUGGGAGCAUUUCAAUCCUUGGAAAGAUCUCGCUGCGCAAGUUCACCGGCCUCAG